GAGAAUAGAUGAGGUAGAGAGAGGGAGAACAGGUGAGGUAGAGAGAGGGAGAAUAGAUGAGGUAGAGAGAGGGAGAAUAGAUGAGGUAGAGAGAGGGAGAAUAGGUGAGGUAGAGAGAGAGGGAGAAUAGGUGAGGUAGAGAGAGGGAGAACAGAUGAGGUAGAGAGAGGGAGAACAGAUGAGGUAGAGAGCGGGAGAACAGGUGAGGUAGAGAGAGGGAGAACAGAUGAGGUAGAGAGCGGGAGAACAGGUGAGGUAGAGAGAAGGAGAAUAGAUGAGGUAGAGAGCGGGAGAACAGGUGAGGUAGAGAGAAGGAGAAUAGGUGAGGUAGAGAGAGGGAGAACAGAUGAGGUAGAGAGAGAGGGAG
Molecule: long non-coding RNA, 367 nt
Organism: Oncorhynchus tshawytscha (Chinook salmon)
Lineage: Eukaryota; Metazoa; Chordata; Actinopteri; Salmoniformes; Salmonidae
Source: Ensembl